Long non-coding RNA from Varroa destructor (honeybee mite), 319 nucleotides. The record is from RefSeq and is a predicted model, not a curated record. Lineage: Eukaryota; Metazoa; Arthropoda; Arachnida; Mesostigmata; Varroidae.
CUAGUGGUUCCACUCGUUGUUCAUGAAUAAAAAAAGAUCACUGCAGCUGCACUGCUUGCUUGAAUUGACAGUUUUACAGUUACUUGAACGGAGUACGACGCUAUACAUUUUAAACAUCCCGCAUGACAUCAAGGCUUACUUUGCAGAACUGUUCGGGUCGAUAGGGUGCGAAGUUCUGGUUACGGUUGGUGUAUGGGGUCCUUUCUUCUACUGCCAAUGGCCAAGCGGGACAUCGUACGCUGCCGCUACGAGGGACAACACCAGCACAUAACGCAGGAGGGCCCAAGAGUUUGAGCAUCAUACCUUGACAACAUUAAAG